AUGGCAGACCGGAAGGCUGCAAUGGACUCACUUCCUUGCGUGAGGAAAGCAUCGAGAAACAAUUGAUUUGCAGAUACUGAAGCUCGCAAGGCGUUUUACUGCGGCCUGGGCUUCGCUUCAUUUCCUGCCAGCCACCGCAGGACGAUGCCUGGAGGUCGGAGGCAGUUCUAUGUGGAAGUGGAGAGCGCGAGGGAACUCAUAUCCCACCCCCCAACUCCCCACCCCACAACACACAGAAAACCUCUAAGCGCCGUUCAUCUGGGAUCUGGAGGCACAAUGCGGAAGUUCAUCCUUUAUUGUGCGAUAGGUAUUAAGCGCCUACUGUGUGCUGGGCACUAAUCAGAAUCCUAAUGGGGAAACUGAGCAUUAAGUAAGUAGAUGUUUUGGAGGCUCCGAGGGGAUGGCAGGUGCGAAGACCAGGAAGUGAAGAGGAGUGGCGCGUGGUCGGUGCUAGGUCGUGACAGAAGACAAAAAAUUAUAAGCGGCAAAGUGAGGGAAGAUGAAGGGUCAGUGAAUGACAUAGGCCAGACAUAAGAAAAAGAAGUAGCCAAUGGGUUUGCUUUUUAAAGUGCUGUGGAGAGCCUUGGAAGGAUCUUAGGCAGGGAGUCUCAUGAUCUGAUUUAUGCGUUUAAAAGAUCUCUCUGGCUGUUGUGUGGAGAAUGGAUUGGAGAGGGCAAAAGAUCAAACUUAGAUAAACUGAGUAGGAGACUGUCUAAUCCAAGUGAAAGAUGCUGCCCAGGCCGGAUAGUGGCAGUGGGAAUGAAAAGAAGGGACUGGGUUUGAGGAUAUUAGGAGAUAAAAAUCAGUUAAGAAGAAACGACGGAUUGGAGAUGGCUACCCCAAGUUUCUGAAAUGAUACUUGAAUCAAAAUAUUACCUCUUUGUUCUAGGUGGAUUCGAGAAGAAUGCACCCCUAUCUCUGGACAGUGAAAGAAUUGAGUUUCUGAACCAACAAAUUGAUUCCAAACCACCUGGAACCGAGAUAGUUACUUCCUUUCACACCACUCAGAACUUUCCCUGGUGCCUGACACAGUGCUGGUGGCAUGGCAGAUCAUGAGCAAGCAGGUAGAUAACCAGGUCCUUCAACGGCAAGUUCCUCUCCCCUCCAGGGGACAUCUCCCUGCUUCCUGCUUGGGGUCUGGGAACAGCCUCUCUCUGACUCUUCUGCCCCUAAAUCUACAUUGCUCCUACUUCUGCCCUCCAUGGAUAGCAGUGGCAUCUCUCUCUCAUUUUAAAUGAACUUUUUGAGGUAUGACAUAUAUAUCCAAAAUCGUAUAAAAGUGCACAUCUUGAUGGGUUAUUACAAAGUGAACACACUUGUGUAACUACCACUGAGAAUCAGAAAUACUCUUGCCUGUGUCCCAGAAGCUCCCUUGGUGUCCCCUUCUAGUCAUCAACCCCUCCCGCCUCCCCAGAGUGAACCACUAGCCUGGUUUCUAACACUGUAGAGUUGUUUCGCCUUGGGUUAAAUUUAUAUAACUAGAAUCAUACAGUAUAUAUUCUUAUGUCUGUCUUCUUUCACUCAAUAUCAUGUUGCUUGGAUUCAUUCACGUUGUUAUGUGUGGCUGUAGUCCAUUCAUUUUUAUCACCGUGAAUAUUCCAUUGUAUGAGUGUAUCACAGUUUAUCCAUUUUAUUCUUAAGGUUCAUAGGGUAUUUCCAUUUUUUUCAUCUUUUGAAUAGUAUUUCUAUGAACACUCCUGUGCACCUUUUGGUAUAAUCUGUAUAUAUUUCUGUGGUUAUAGAGCUAGAAGGGAAAUUACUGGGUCAUAUGGUAUGUAUGUAUUGGAAAUUUUCCCUAGUGAUUGGCCUGCAAUUUUCCAUUCUUGUAGGGUCCUGUUCAGUUUUCAAUAUCAAGGAAAUAAAAAAUGGUCCAGGUACAUUUGAAAAGAAUGCACAUUUUUCAGGCGUCUGGUGCUAGGUUGUGUCCUUUGUGGCUUUUUUGUUGCGGUUGUCUGCUCUGUGAAAUUUCCCACCAUACUUGAGAAUUUGUCUAUUUCUCCUUUUAGUUUUGACAAUUGUGUUGUAUAUAUAUUUAAAGCCAUGUUACCAUGUACAUAUACAUUUAGAAGUGUUGCAUAUUCUUGGUAAAUGCCCCUUUAAUCAUCAUGAAAUGUUCCUCUUCAUCUCUAUUAUAGUCUAAAUUGUCCGAUAUUAAUAUAGCUACAAAAGAUUUGUUUUGGUUAGUGUUUUCAUGGUGUACCUUUUUCAUCUUUUCACUUUCAGUCUUUCUGUAUCCUUAUAUUUUAACUCUGUCUCUUAUAAGUAGUAUGUAGUUGUGCUUUUCUCAUCCUAAUAUCUUUGUCUUUUAA
Choloepus didactylus (southern two-toed sloth) is the source of this 2309-nucleotide long non-coding RNA. RefSeq lists it as uncharacterized. The record is from RefSeq and is a predicted model, not a curated record. Lineage: Eukaryota; Metazoa; Chordata; Mammalia; Pilosa; Megalonychidae. The transcript is spliced from 3 exons.